CUCUUUGCUCCGAUUGUUGUGUCACAACCAAUACCGGCAGAUAAAUCCCAAGUGGAAGCUUGGUUUAAUGGCAUUAUCAAGCCGGUGAAGGAAAGGGGUACAACCUUAGACCCUGAAUUGGUUCAAGCCGAGACAGAACCUAGAAUCAUAAAGGUGAUGCAAGGUGGGGGUGGAGAAUUCGAUACCAUAACCAAAGCCAUCGAGAGCGUUCCAUCAGGGAACGCCAAACGCGUGAUCAUAUCCAUCGGACCUGGAUCUUACAAAGAGAAAAUUAGAAUUGAAAGAAAUAAGCCUUUCAUUACAUUGUUAGGAGAUCCUAAAAACAUGCCAAAUUUGACAUUUGACGGCACCGCCAAGCAAUAUGGAACCGUAGAUAGUGCCACUCUUAUUACUGAGAGUAAUUACUUUGUGGGUGCUAAUCUCAAUAUAGUGGUAAGUUAAUGUAGAGUUUAGACAACCAUGAUCUGUCCUUUAUUGAAUUGAUUAUUAAAGGGAUUUUUUUUUUAUGGUGGCAUGUUAUGCAUAUAGAACUCUGCUCCAAGGCCAGACGGUAAAAUGGUAGGAGCACAGGCGGUUGCUCUGAGAGUCUCCGGCGACAGGUCGGCUUUCUAUAACUGCAAGAUCAUUGGCUUCCAGGACACUUUGUGCGAUGACAGGGGCAACCAUUUCUUUAAGGAUUGCCAUAUUCGUGGCACUGUUGAUUUCAUUUUCGGAAGCGGGACAUCUUUAUAUCUGGUAUUCAUAUUCCCAAUGCGUGAAAUAUGAUGUAUUAUACCCCCAUAUAUACAUUUGACAAGAAAAGUGGGAUGCAGAACACGGAAAUAUUCGUGGUAGGAGAUCCAGAAGGAGAUCCGGAAAUGGCAAUAAUUACAGCACAUGCGCGAGAAAGUUCAUCGGAGGACACGGGUUAUUCGUUCGUGCAUGGCAGAAUUACAGGAACAGCGAAGGACGUAUUUUUGGGCAGGGCCUGGAAGAGCAGUCCGAGGGUUGUUUAUUCUUAUACUGAAAUGGACGAAAUCGUCCAUCCUGGUGGAUGGUCUAGUAAUCGCCAACCUGAACGAGCCGAGUAAGAUAAUACUCAGCCUUACAACGUUACAUGCCUACAAGUAAACUAAUCUUUCCCAACUUAUUGAUAAAUUUAUUAAGAUAUAUAAUGUGAGAAUGGUUUGACACGCAGCACUGUGUACUACGGAGAAUACAAAUGCACGGGGAAAGGCGCGACUCCUGCUACACGAGAGAAAUUCGUCAAACAACUAUCGGAUGCGGAAGCUAAACCAUUCUUGGUUCUUGACUACGUUGAAGGUACCAAAUGGUUGCUUCCCCCUCCGACAGUACCUAAAUAAUUCAUUCAUUCCCAACUUUUUCAUGCCGGCAACAUAUCCUCACAGUAUUGCUAAUUCAAGCAGACUCUCGUCUACCUCUUUGCUGGGUGGAAAUAACUAGCCAUCCAUUUUAUUUUAUUUAUUUUAUUUUCCCUUCCCAUGGCUUGUAUUUUAACAAAUAGCCAAAUGUCAAUAAGAAGCAGAAUUUAGUCUUAUUUUUAUUAAUAGUUAGGAUGUUGAUAUUUGCCAUUAUGUAGAAAAUUUCCAUCAUAUCAAGUUAAAAUUAUGUAAUAAUAUCCAUCAUAUAUCCAAGUUCAUUGAUUCAAUAAGUCAAGGUGAUUUCACAAACUUUUGCAUUUUAGCAAAUAAAUGGACCAUUACUGUAUAUUUGUGUAACAGCUCGUUUUCAGUAGUGUCAGAAAUAGUGGAUUUGGGACCACGAUUUUGACAAGCAGUCAGCAUUUUAAUUAAUUUUUCUUUGAUAAAAUUAUUUUAAUUAUUUAUUUAGUAUUUGCUGGGUUCAUGCCCCCCUUAAUGACUUCCUAGGGUUUAGGUUCUUCCUUUCCCAAACAGUUGAUCCGUUGAGUAGCCCUAUAAAACAGUUAACAAAUCAUACCUCCACUCGCUAAUCCCCCAUAGAGGGAUCAGUUCCUCAUGGUUUUCAUAGAUAAUAUGGAAUUGAGUUAAAGAUAGAACAUGAUAAUUGAAUUGAGGUGUAGAGUUUAAAAAAGUACCUGAUUUGUAGUAAAGAUGAAUAUGAAUUCACAAAGUUUGAUCGUCUUUACACAUCAGAUCUCUCGAGAUAAAGCAAGAACAACUUGAAAAUAAUUCUAAAAACCUAAAAGAAAGAAUAUCUGAACUGGAAUUAAAAGAAAAAAAAACUAUACUAAGUAAUUGAUGUCCGUAACAUGUGAAAAAAGAUCCUAUUUAUAGAUUUCAGGUGGCCUUCGUCGUCAAACCUAGGUUAGUUGAAGUUCUAGAGCUUUAAGUUUGAUUAUGCAAACCAAAACGCCCUCUGGCUCGUGUUAGUUUCCGUCCAGAGUCGAUGUCGCGAUACAUCAGGACCUGUGUCGCAACAAAGGAUUCUAUACACUCCUCUUGGGAUAUCUUUAGGGGUAUGUCGCAACACCCUUAUAUUGUGUCGCAACAUCGAAAGCAGUUUCGUGAUUUCUUUAUCCUGCUCCCUAAGUUGCUACAUUGAUCAUUUUGUGUUGAGACAUAGUGACCAGCAUCUGUUAAUUACUCCUUCUAAUGCUCUCCUGCACACUUACACAGUUCAUUAGCUUCCCCUUAAACCUCUUCCAGCCCCUAAGGUUAAUAAAAGGCUCAAUUUGUACAUCACAUUACAUUUAAGAAGAGUUGCAAGAACAUAAUUAAAAUCUAACGAAAAUGCUUGCUUUCAACCUCCUAAAGUGCGGAAAUUAGUUUAAUCUACUACACGGAAUUACGGUAUGUCAAGUACACGACUUCAUGCUCGAAUCCACGAUUUAUAAUGUUAUUUAUAGCCCUUUUCACAUAAUUUUGGCUUUUUUUUAAUAGCUAAAUCAAGUCAUUUUGUAAUAAUAUAUGUUUUUACAGGUUAAACAGUUAACUUAGUUUUUUUUAAUAUUUUUAUUGUAUUUGAUAGCUAAAAAAAGGUUAUGUGGUUGAUGUCGUGACCACAAAGUAUGGAAGUAAUAUAAAUAUUAACUUUGUUAAUUACCAUUUGAUUCUUUUUUAGUAAUAUAAAUACUUGCUUAAUUUAAAUCUGUUCCUAUAAUAUACUUUAAGAUGUAUUCCCUAUGUUUUAUAUAAUCACAACUUGUGUGAAAUUGCCGUAUAAAAUUUAUAUUUUUAUUUAGAAACUUAGUACGUUAUAGAUAUUUUAUGUUCGGUAUUGUGUUUCGUAGAUUCUAUCAACAAAUUUUUUCGACCUUUCACGAAUGAAAGAAAAGGAAACAUAAAACUUAAUUGGCAAUUUCCAAUUAGAAUCAAACUUUUCCUCAUUUAUAUAAACCUAAUAGAUAAUUAAUUUAGUAAUAAAUUCAAAAUAAACAAGUAAGUAUUAACGGGGCAACAAAUGAAGGCAACAACAUAAAAUAUUUCCAUUCCUUACAUUAAAUUCACCCGGUUUAGGUUUUGCACUUAGGAUUAUUGUUCAAUGAUCAUGGGUGUCUGUAGUCCAAAUUUUGUGUAUUUGGCAACAAUUAUAUUCAAUUUAUACUCAUUAAUAGCGAUCAACUGCCAAAUGCUCGGUCUGAACUGUAGCAAUGCUUGCACCAAGAACUACGCAAAUGAGUGGCAAUGCGAGGAAUCCUCCAAGGCUCAUUUGUUUUAAUAUUUUUUUUGUCACCAAUUUAUCUUAUAAAUUGGAGUCACUUAGAAUUCAAAGACAACCUCAAUAAUCAAUAAACGAAGAAAAUAAACAAAUUACUCUUUUUAUUAAAAGGAAAGAAGGAGGAGGAGGAAAUGGAUGGAAAAAGAAUCGAGGGCAAUGAAGUUUAUGCUCUAGCAAUGUGUGUAAGUAUUCUCCUCUUUGCUCCGAUUGUUGUGUCACAACCAAUACCGGCAGAUAAAUCCCAAGUGGAAGCUUGGUUUAAUGGCAUUAUCAAGCCGGUGAAGGAAAGGGGUACAACCUUAGACCCUGAAUUGGUUCAAGCCGAGACAGAACCUAGAAUCAUAAAGGUGAUGCAAGGUGGGGGUGGAGAAUUCGAUACCAUAACCAAAGCCAUCGAGAGCGUUCCAUCAGGGAACGCCAAACGCGUGAUCAUAUCCAUCGGACCUGGAUCUUACAAAGAGAAAAUUAGAAUUGAAAGAAAUAAGCCUUUCAUUACAUUGUUAGGAGAUCCUAAAAACAUGCCAAAUUUGACAUUUGACGGCACCGCCAAGCAAUAUGGAACCGUAGAUAGUGCCACUC
Molecule: long non-coding RNA, 4218 nt
Filed under: Gossypium barbadense (sea-island cotton)
Lineage: Eukaryota; Viridiplantae; Streptophyta; Magnoliopsida; Malvales; Malvaceae
Description: long non-coding RNA (GBAR_LNC023232)
Source: RNAcentral